Molecule: long non-coding RNA, 258 nt
Organism: Rhineura floridana
Lineage: Eukaryota; Metazoa; Chordata; Lepidosauria; Squamata; Rhineuridae
Exons: 3
Source: RefSeq, a predicted model, not a curated record
UGAGCACUAUACCAAUCCAUUCUUUAUGAUUUUGAUAUCUGAGGUUGUUCUGAACAUGGCAAUGCUUGAUGCGGGCACCUGACAGAGAGGUUCAUGGCUGGAAGCCACCAAUGAACACAGCCAGUUUCCCCAGUAUCAGCUUUAUGGAAUAUAUUUGACCAUACCAAAGAUGAUGUACACAGCCAUUUAUAUGUAGAUUUCAUAGUAUUGAAAACCAGGAUGAAGUACUAAACUUUGACAUACAAAGAAAGUCCUUGG